This 315-nucleotide ribosomal RNA is filed under the name uncultured eukaryote. Its description in RNAcentral is "partial 18S ribosomal RNA". It matches the Rfam family "Eukaryotic small subunit ribosomal RNA", at positions 1470 to 1796 of the family's 1831-position model. The record is from RNAcentral.
CCCUUAGACGUUCUGGGCCGCACGCGCGCUACACUGACCAGUGCAACAAGCAUCCGUCCUUGGCCGACAGGCUCGGGCAAUCUUUGAACGCUGGUCGUGAUGGGGAUAGACUUUUGCAAUUUUUGGUCUUCAACGAGGAAUUCCUAGUAAACGCAAGUCAUCAACUUGCAUUGAUUACGUCCCUGCCCUUUGUACACACCGCCCAUCGCACCUACCGAUUGAAUGGUCCGGUGAAGCCUCCGGAUUGGCGCGCACCUCGGUGCCGCCGAGAAGUUGGCUAAACCUUACCAUUUAGAGGAAGGUGAAGUCGUAACA